This 200-nucleotide ribosomal RNA is filed under the name uncultured organism. Its description in RNAcentral is "partial small subunit ribosomal RNA". It matches the Rfam family "Bacterial small subunit ribosomal RNA", at positions 1184 to 1382 of the family's 1533-position model. The record is from RNAcentral.
GUCAAGUCAUCAUGCCCCUUAUGUCUUGGGCUGCAAACAUGCUACAAUGGCCGGUACAGAGGGCUGCGAUACCGCGAGGUGGAGCGAAUCCCUUAAAGCCGGUCUCAGUUCGGAUUGGGGUCUGCAACUCGACCCCAUGAAGUCGGAGUCGCUAGUAAUCGCAGAUCAGCAACGCUGCGGUGAAUACGUUCCCGGGCCUU